UAGGGAAUCUUCCGCAAUGGGCGAAAGCCUGACGGAGCAACGCCGCGUGAGUGAUGAAGGUCUUCGGAUCGUAAAACUCUGUUAUUAGGGAAGAACAAAUGUGUAAGUAACUAUGCACGUCUUGACGGUACCUAAUCAGAAAGCCACGGCUAACUACGUGCCAGCAGCCGCGGUAAUACGUAGGUGACAAGCGUUAUCCGGAAUUAUUGGGCGUAAAGCGCGCGUAGGCGGUUUUUUAAGUCUGAUGUGAAAGCCCACGGCUCAACCGUGGAGGGUCAUUGGAAACUGGAAAACUUGAGUGCAGAAGAGGAAAGUGGAAUUCCAUGUGUAGCAGUGAAAUGCGCAGAGAUAUGGGGGAACACCAGUGGCGAAGGCGACUUUCUGGUCUGUAACUGACGCUGAUGUGCGAAAGCGUGGGGAUCAAACAGG
This 429-nucleotide ribosomal RNA is filed under the name Actinomycetes bacterium. Its description in RNAcentral is "Actinobacteria bacterium partial 16S ribosomal RNA". It matches the Rfam family "Bacterial small subunit ribosomal RNA", at positions 355 to 776 of the family's 1533-position model. Lineage: Bacteria; Bacillati; Actinomycetota; Actinomycetes. The record is from RNAcentral.